GGGUUGUGAGGUUAAGCGACUAAGCGUACACGGUGGAUGCCCUGGCAGUCAGAGGCGAUGAAGGACGUGCUAAUCUGCGAAAAGCGUCGGUAAGGUGAUAUGAACCGUUAUAACCGGCGAUGUCCGAAUGGGGAAACCCAGUGCAAUUCGUUGCACUAUCGUUAACUGAAUACAUAGGUUAACGAGGCGAACCGGGGGAACUGAAACAUCUAAGUACCCCGAGGAAAAGAAAUCAACCGAGAUUCCCCCAGUAGCGGCGAGCGAACGGGGAGCAGCCCAGAGUCUGAAUCAGCUUGUGUGUUAGUGGAACGGUCUGGAAAGUCCGACGGUACAGGGUGAUAGUCCCGUACACCAAAAUGCACAGGCUGUGAACUCGAAGAGUAGGGCGGGACACGUGGUAUCCUGUCUGAAUAUGGGGGGACCAUCCUCCAAGGCUAAAUACUCCUGACUGACCGAUAGUGAACCAGUACCGUGAGGGAAAGGCGAAAAGAACCCCGGCGAGGGGAGUGAAAAAGAACCUGAAACCGUGUACGUACAAGCAGUGGGAGCACCUUCGGGUGUGACUGCGUACCUUUUGUAUAAUGGGUCAGCGACUUAUAUUCUGUAGCAAGGUUAACCGUAUAGGGGAGCCGCAGGGAAACCGAGUCUUAACUGGGCGUUAAGUUGCAGGGUAUAGACCCGAAACCCGGUGAUCUAGCCAUGGGCAGGUUGAAGGUUGGGUAACACUAACUGGAGGACCGAACCGACUAAUGUUGAAAAAUUAGCGGAUGACUUGUGGCUGGGGGUGAAAGGCCAAUCAAACCGGGAGAUAGCUGGUUCUCCCCGAAAGCUAUUUAGGUAGCGCCUCGUGAACUCAUCUUCGGGGGUAGAGCACUGUUUCGGCUAGGGGGUCAUCCCGACUUACCAACCCGAUGCAAACUACGAAUACCGAAGAAUGUUAUCACGGGAGACACACGGCGGGUGCUAACGUCCGUCGUGAAGAGGGAAACAACCCAGACCGCCAGCUAAGGUCCCAAAGUCAUGGUUAAGUGGGAAACGAUGUGGGAAGGCACAGACAGCCAGGAUGUUGGCUUAGAAGCAGCCAUCAUUUAAAGAAAGCGUAAUAGCUCACUGGUCGAGUCGGCCUGCGCGGAAGAUGUAACGGGGCUAAACCAUGCACCGAAGCUGCGGCAGCGACACUAUGUGUUGUUGGGUAGGGGAGCGUUCUGUAAGCCUGCGAAGGUGUGCUGUGAGGCAUGCUGGAGGUAUCAGAAGUGCGAAUGCUGACAUAAGUAACGAUAAAGCGGGUGAAAAGCCCGCUCGCCGGAAGACCAAGGGUUCCUGUCCAACGUUAAUCGGGGCAGGGUGAGUCGACCCCUAAGGCGAGGCCGAAAGGCGUAGUCGAUGGGAAACAGGUUAAUAUUCCUGUACUUGGUGUUACUGCGAAGGGGGGACGGAGAAGGCUAUGUUAGCCGGGCGACGGUUGUCCCGGUUUAAGCAUGUAGGCUGGUUGUCCAGGCAAAUCCGGAUAAUCAAGGCUGAGGUGUGAUGACGAGGCACUACGGUGCUGAAGUAACAAAUGCCCUGCUUCCAGGAAAAGCCUCUAAGCAUCAGGUAACAUCAAAUCGUACCCCAAACCGACACAGGUGGUCAGGUAGAGAAUACCAAGGCGCUUGAGAGAACUCGGGUGAAGGAACUAGGCAAAAUGGUGCCGUAACUUCGGGAGAAGGCACGCUGGUGUGUAGGUGAAGCCCCUGCGGGUGGAGCUGAGACCAGUCGAAGAUACCAGCUGGCUGCAACUGUUUAUUAAAAACACAGCACUGUGCAAACACGAAAGUGGACGUAUACGGUGUGACGCCUGCCCGGUGCCGGAAGGUUAAUUGAUGGGGUUAUCCGUAAGGAGAAGCUCUUGAUCGAAGCCCCGGUAAACGGCGGCCGUAACUAUAACGGUCCUAAGGUAGCGAAAUUCCUUGUCGGGUAAGUUCCGACCUGCACGAAUGGCGUAAUGAUGGCCAGGCUGUCUCCACCCGAGACUCAGUGAAAUUGAACUCGCUGUGAAGAUGCAGUGUACCCGCGGCAAGACGGAAAGACCCCGUGAACCUUUACUAUAGCUUGACACUGAACAUUGAGCCUUGAUGUGUAGGAUAGGUGGGAGGCUUUGAAGCGUGGACGCCAGUCUGCGUGGAGCCAACCUUGAAAUACCACCCUUUAAUGUUUGAUGUUCUAACGUUGGCCCCUUACCGGGGUUGCGGACAGUGUCUGGUGGGUAGUUUGACUGGGGCGGUCUCCUCCCAAAGCGUAACGGAGGAGCACGAAGGUUAGCUAAUCCUGGUCGGACAUCAGGAGGUUAGUGCAAUGGCAUAAGCUAGCUUGACUGCGAGCGUGACGGCGCGAGCAGGUGCGAAAGCAGGUCAUAGUGAUCCGGUGGUUCUGAAUGGAAGGGCCAUCGCUCAACGGAUAAAAGGUACUCCGGGGAUAACAGGCUGAUACCGCCCAAGAGUUCAUAUCGACGGCGGUGUUUGGCACCUCGAUGUCGGCUCAUCACAUCCUGGGGCUGAAGUAGGUCCCAAGGGUAUGGCUGUUCGCCAUUUAAAGUGGUACGCGAGCUGGGUUUAGAACGUCGUGAGACAGUUCGGUCCCUAUCUGCCGUGGGCGCUGGAGAAUUGAGGGGGGCUGCUCCUAGUACGAGAGGACCGGAGUGGACGCAUCACUGGUGUUCGGGUUGUCAUGCCAAUGGCACUGCCCGGUAGCUAAAUGCGGAAGAGAUAAGUGCUGAAAGCAUCUAAGCACGAAACUUGCCCCGAGAUGAGUUCUCCCUGAGACUUUAAGUCUCCUGAAGGAACGUUGAAGACGACGACGUUGAUAGGCCGGGUGUGUAAGCGCAGCGAUGCGUUGAGCUAACCGGUACUAAUGAACCGUGAGGCUUAACCUUACAACGCCGAAG
RNAcentral lists this ribosomal RNA (2923 nucleotides) under Klebsiella pneumoniae. Its description in RNAcentral is "bacterial LSU rRNA". It matches the Rfam family "Bacterial large subunit ribosomal RNA". Lineage: Bacteria; Pseudomonadati; Pseudomonadota; Gammaproteobacteria; Enterobacterales; Enterobacteriaceae. The record is from RNAcentral. RNAcentral also lists the same sequence under 1 other name.